AUUGAACGCUGGCGGCAGGCUUCACACAUGCAAGUCGAGCGGGGUGAUGGUGCUUGCACUAUCACUUAGCGGCGGACGGGUGAGUAAUGCUUAGGAAUCUGCCUAUUAGUGGGGGACAACAUCUCGAAAGGGAUGCUAAUACCGCAUACGUCCUACGGGAGAAAGCAGGGGAUCACUUGUGACCUUGCGCUAAUAGAUGAGCCUAAGUCGGAUUAGCUAGUUGGUGGGGUAAAGGCCUACCAAGGCGACGAUCUGUAGCGGGUCUGAGAGGGUGAUCCGCGAAACUGGCACUGAGACACGGACGAGACUCCUGCGGGGGGCAGCAGUGGGGAAUAUUGGACAAUGGGGGGAACCCUGAUCUAGCCAUGCCGCGUGUGUGAAGAGGGCCUUAUGGUUGUAAAGCACUUUAAGCGAGGAGGAGGCUCUUUUGGUUAAUACCCAAGAUGAGUGGACGUUACGCGCAGAAUAAGCACCGGCUAACUCUGUGCCAGCAGCCGCGGUAA
Molecule: ribosomal RNA, 503 nt
Filed under: uncultured bacterium
Lineage: Bacteria
Description: partial 16S ribosomal RNA
Rfam family: Bacterial small subunit ribosomal RNA
Source: RNAcentral